CCUACGGGGGGCAGCAGUGGGGAAUUUUGCGCAAUGGGCGAAAGCCUGACGCAGCAACGCCGCGUGAGUGAUGAAGGCUUUCGGGUCGUAAAGCUCUGUCGAGGGGAAAGAAGUGUAUUGUGGCUAAUAUCCACGAUACUUGACGGUACCCCUAAAGGAAGCACCGGCUAACUCCGUGCCAGCAGCCGCGGUAAUACGGGGGGUGCAAGCGUUGUUCGGAAUUAUUGGGCGUAAAGCGCGUGUAGGCGGUUUGAUUAGUCUGAUGUGAAAGCCCU
Molecule: ribosomal RNA, 275 nt
Filed under: uncultured Geobacter sp.
Lineage: Bacteria; Pseudomonadati; Thermodesulfobacteriota; Desulfuromonadia; Geobacterales; Geobacteraceae
Description: partial 16S ribosomal RNA
Rfam family: Bacterial small subunit ribosomal RNA
Source: RNAcentral